CCCAGACUCCUACGGGAGGCAGCAGUGGGGAAUAUUGCACAAUGGGGGAAACCCUGAUGCAGCGACGCCGCGUGAGUGAAGAAGUAUUUCGGUAUGUAAAGCUCUAUCAGCAGGGAAGAAAAUGACGGUACCUGAUUAAGAAGCCCCGGCUAACUACGUGCCAGCAGCCGCGGUAAUACGUAGGGGGCAAGCGUUAUCCGGAUUUACUGGGGGUAAAGGGAGCGUAGACGGCAGCGCAAGUCUGAAGUGAAAUGCCGGGGCUUAACCCCGGAACUGCUUUGGAAACUGUGCAGCUAGAGUGCAGGAGAGGUAAGUGGAAUUCCUAGUGUAGCGGUGAAAUGCGUAGAUAUUAGGAGGAACACCAGUGGCGAAGGCGGCUUACUGGACUGUAACUGACGUUGAGGCUCGAAAGCGUGGGGAGCAAACAGGAUUAGAUACCCCAGUAUC
Molecule: ribosomal RNA, 447 nt
Filed under: uncultured bacterium
Lineage: Bacteria
Description: bacterial SSU rRNA
Rfam family: Bacterial small subunit ribosomal RNA
Source: RNAcentral